AGCGAACGCUGGCGGCAGGCCUAACACAUGCAAGUCGAACGAACCUUUCGGGGUUAGUGGCGGACGGGUGAGUAACACGUGGGAACGUUCCUUUAGGUUCGGAAUACCUCAGGGAAACUUGUGCUAAUACCGAAUGUGCCCUUCGGGGGAAAGAUUUAUUGCCUUUAGAGCGGCCCGCGUCUGAUUAGCUAGUUGGUUGAGGUAAUGGCUCACCAAGGCGACGAUCAGUAGCUGGUCUGAGAGGAUGAUCAGCCACAUUGGGACUGAGACACAGCCCAAACUCCUACGGGAGGCAGCAGUGGGGAAUCUUGCGCAAUGGGCGAAAGCCUGACGCAGCCAUGCCGCGUGAAUGAUGAAGGUCUUAGGAUUGUAAAAUUCUUUCACCGGGGACGAUAAUGACGGUACCCGGAGAAGAAGCCCCGGCUAACUUCGUG
This 434-nucleotide ribosomal RNA is filed under the name uncultured bacterium. Its description in RNAcentral is "partial 16S ribosomal RNA". It matches the Rfam family "Bacterial small subunit ribosomal RNA", at positions 29 to 507 of the family's 1533-position model. The record is from RNAcentral.